Molecule: RNA transcript, 244 nt
Organism: Zea mays
Lineage: Eukaryota; Viridiplantae; Streptophyta; Magnoliopsida; Poales; Poaceae
Gene name: cysteine protease pseudogene
Exons: 3
Source: RefSeq, marked validated
AGUUCAUCAUCAACAAUGGCGGAAUCGACACCGAGAAGGAUUACCCUUACAAGGGCACGGACGGACGGUGUGAUGUCAACAGGAAAAACGCGAAGGUUGUCACUAUUGACAGCUACGAAGAUGUACCAGCGAACGAUGAGAAGAGUCUGCAGAAGGCAGUUGCAAACCAGCCUGUCAGUGUCGCAAUUGAGGCUGCUGGCACAACAUUUCAGCUCUACAGCUCGGGUAUCUUCACUGGAAGCUG